Molecule: microRNA precursor, 85 nt
Filed under: Gorilla gorilla gorilla (western lowland gorilla)
Lineage: Eukaryota; Metazoa; Chordata; Mammalia; Primates; Hominidae
Description: miRNA (ENSGGOG00000042119.1)
Source: RNAcentral
GUAUUGGGUUGGUGCAAAAGUAAUUGCAGUUUUUGAUGUUAGUUUCAAUGGUAAAAACCGCAAUUACUUUUGCACUGACCUAAUA